UGGGGAAUAUUGCACAAUGGGCGAAAGCCUGAUGCAGCAACGCCGCGUGAGUGAUGAAGGUCUUCGGAUUGUAAAGCUCUGUCUUUUGGGACGAUAAUGACGGUACCAAAGGAGGAAGCCACGGCUAACUACGUGCCAGCAGCCGCGGUAAUACGUAGGUGGCGAGCGUUGUCCGGAUUUACUGGGCGUAAAGGGUGCGUAGGCGGAUGUUUAAGUGAGAUGUGAAAUACCCGGGCUUAACUUGGGUGCUGCAUUUCAAACUGGAUAUCUAGAGUGCAGGAGAGGAGAAUGGAAUUCCUAGUGUAGCGGUGAAAUGCGUAGAGAUUAGGAAGAACACCAGUGGCGAAGGCGAUUCUCUGGACUGUAACUGACGCUGAGGCACGAAAGCGUGGGUAGCAAACAGGAUUAGAUACCCUGGUAGUCCACGCCGUAAACGAUGAGUACUAGGUGUAGGAGGUAUCGACCCCCUUCUGUGCCGCAGUA
Molecule: ribosomal RNA, 483 nt
Filed under: uncultured bacterium
Lineage: Bacteria
Description: partial 16S ribosomal RNA
Rfam family: Bacterial small subunit ribosomal RNA
Source: RNAcentral